UCCUUAGUGGCUCAGCUGGUAAAGAAUCUGCCUGCAAUGCAGGAGACCUGGGUUCGAUCCCUGGGUUGGGAA
This 72-nucleotide transfer RNA is filed under the name Capra hircus (goat). It matches the Rfam family "tRNA". From Rfam's summary of the family: Transfer RNA (tRNA) molecules are approximately 80 nucleotides in length. Lineage: Eukaryota; Metazoa; Chordata; Mammalia; Artiodactyla; Bovidae. RNAcentral also lists the same sequence under 1 other name. The record is from Rfam by way of RNAcentral.